Long non-coding RNA from Bos taurus (domestic cattle), 503 nucleotides. NCBI's taxonomy places the organism in Eukaryota, Metazoa, Chordata, Mammalia, Artiodactyla, Bovidae. The record is from Ensembl.
UAUGAUAAGAUGCUGCCUUUAAUGGUGAUAACUGUGGGCUAAACAUGACUAGAGAGAUUUGUGUCUGGGCUUCUAUCCCCUGUGCACACGGGGAGAUUGGUGUUUGAUUUGCAGCCACAUCUGAGAUUUGUGGAGCUUGUCACUGCUAGUGACUACAGCAGACUUGAGAGCUGUGUUCUCAGUCGCUUCAGUCAUGUCCAACUCUUUGCAAACUUAGCCUGCCAGGCUCCUCUGUACACCGGAUUCUCCAGCAAGAAUACAGGAGUGGGUUGCUGUGCCCUCCUCCAGGGGAUCUUCCCACCCCAGGAAUUGAACCCAUAUAUCUGGCAUCUCCGGCAUUGCCAGCAGGUUCUUUACCCGCUGAACUGCCUGGGAAGCCCUUCUUCCCUUUCCACUUCCCUCCAGUCAUACUGUCAUCAGAUCGUUCUCACAUUCUUCAAAGUUACAGAUUCUUUGCGUACUGUUAGGUAUAGGUUUUACUUCACUUGUAGGUGGUCUUGGGG